Molecule: ribosomal RNA, 246 nt
Filed under: uncultured bacterium
Lineage: Bacteria
Description: partial 16S ribosomal RNA
Rfam family: Bacterial small subunit ribosomal RNA
Source: RNAcentral
GGGAGAAGUUAGUGGCGGAAGGGUGAGUAACGCGUGGGAAUCUACCUGUAGGUAAAGAAUAGCUUUGGGAAACUGAAGGUAAUACUGUAUAUCCCCUGAGGGGGAAAGGGUGCUUCGGCACUCGCCUAUAGAUGAGCCUGCGUCCGAUUAGGUAGUUGGUGGGGUAAUGGCCUACCAAGCCGACGAUCGGUAGCUGGUCUGAGAGGAUGAUCAGCCACACUGGACUUGAGAUAAGGUUCAGACUCC